Non-coding RNA from Cordylochernes scorpioides, 77 nucleotides. NCBI's taxonomy places the organism in Eukaryota, Metazoa, Arthropoda, Arachnida, Pseudoscorpiones, Chernetidae. The record is from the annotation of a GenBank genome assembly.
GCAUCGGUGGUUCAGUGGUAGAAUGCUCGCCUGCCACCCGGGCCGGCCGAUUCCCGGUUCGAUUCCCGUCCGAUGCA